CCCUUAGAUGUUCUGGGCCGCACGCGCGCUACACUGACGCAUUCAACGAGCCUAGCCUUGACCGAGAGGUCCGGGUAAUCUUUGAAACUGCAUCGUGAUGGGGCUAGAUUAUUGCAAUUAUUAAUCUUCAACGAGGAAUGCCUAGUAAGCGUGAUUCAUCAAAUCGCGUUGAUUACGUCCCUGCCCUUUGUACACACCGCCCGUCGCUCCUACCGAUUGAGUGUGUUGGUGAGGAGUUCGGAUUGGCUCUUAGUGGUGGUUCGCCACCACCUAGAGCUGAGAAGUUCUCCAAACCGCCCCACUUAGAGGAAGGAGAAGUCGUAACA
RNAcentral lists this ribosomal RNA (326 nucleotides) under uncultured eukaryote. Its description in RNAcentral is "partial 18S ribosomal RNA". It matches the Rfam family "Eukaryotic small subunit ribosomal RNA", at positions 1470 to 1796 of the family's 1831-position model. The record is from RNAcentral.